UACGGGGGGAGCAAGCGUUGUUCGGAUUUACUGGGCGUAAAGGGCGCGUAGGCGGUAGCACAAGUCAGUUGUGAAAUCUCCGGGCUUAACUCGGAAAGGUCAACUGAUACUGUGCGACUAGAGUGCAGAAGGGGCAACUGGAAUUCUCGGUGUAGCGGUGAAAUGCGUAGAUAUCGAGAGGAACACCUGCGGCGAAGGCGGGUUGCUGGGCUGACACUGACGCUGAGGCGCGAAAGCCAGGGGAGCGAGCGGA
Molecule: ribosomal RNA, 253 nt
Filed under: uncultured bacterium
Lineage: Bacteria
Description: partial 16S ribosomal RNA
Rfam family: Bacterial small subunit ribosomal RNA
Source: RNAcentral